This 253-nucleotide ribosomal RNA is filed under the name uncultured bacterium. RNAcentral describes it as "partial 16S ribosomal RNA". It matches the Rfam family "Bacterial small subunit ribosomal RNA", at positions 524 to 776 of the family's 1533-position model. The record is from RNAcentral.
UACGUAGGGUGCGAGCGUUAAUCGGAAUGACUGGGCGUAAAGGGUGCGCAGGCGGUUUGUUAAGACAGAUGUGAAAUCCCCGGGCUUAACCUGGGAACUGCAUACGUGACUGGCAAGCUAGAGUAUGGCAGAGGGGGGUGGAAUUCCACAUGUAGCAGUGAAAUGCGUAGAGAUGUGGAGGAACACCGAUGGCGAAGGCAGCCCCCUGGGCCAAUACUGACGCUCAUGCACGAAAGCGUGGGGAGCAAACAGG